RNAcentral lists this small RNA (370 nucleotides) under Rattus norvegicus (Norway rat). RNAcentral's name for it is "uncharacterized LOC102548158". Lineage: Eukaryota; Metazoa; Chordata; Mammalia; Rodentia; Muridae. The record is from RNAcentral.
GCCCACCACUCCCCAUAUUCCAUUCAUUCCUGGCUCUUCUUUAAACUUUUAUCUCCUUGAACACUGGAUUUAACACCUCCAACUUCCUGAUUUGCAAAAGAGUGACCACUAGUAACCACAUGACAGAGUCUGCCUUGAAAUCUUCUCUGCCAAUGCCAUUAAACUCUUCAUUUUAGCCUCAGAGAAUGGCAUAUGUCAGAGGAAACAAGACUCCUCGUGCACAUAAGAAGUCACACAAGAAAUAUCUUAAAGGAAUAAAAAUUUUGAAUGGACCUGUCAUUAUUUUUCUGUCAAGAUUCUUUGUGGCUUACAGAAUAAGACGGGAACGGAAUAGGAAUUCUUUUAGUACAAAUAACUUAAAACUGAAAAC